UUAAGUUAUUAAGGGCGCACGGUGGAUGCCUUGGCACUAGAAGCCGAUGAAGGACGUUACUAACGACGAUAUGCUUUGGGGAGCUGUAAGUAAGCUUUGAUCCAGAGAUUUCCGAAUGGGGAAACCCAGCAUGAGUUAUGUCAUGUUAUCGAUAUGUGAAUACAUAGCAUAUCAGAAGGCACACCCGGAGAACUGAAACAUCUUAGUACCCGGAGGAAGAGAAAGAAAAUUCGAUUCCCUUAGUAGCGGCGAGCGAAACGGGAAGAGCCCAAACCAACAAGCUUGCUUGUUGGGGUUGUAGGACACUCUAUACGGAGUUACAAAGGACGACAUUAGACGAAUCAUCUGGAAAGAUGAAUCAAAGAAGGUAAUAAUCCUGUAGUCGAAAAUGUUGUCUCUCUUGAGUGGAUCCUGAGUACGACGGAGCACGUGAAAUUCCGUCGGAAUCUGGGAGGACCAUCUCCUAAGGCUAAAUACUCUCUAGUGACCGAUAGUGAACCAGUACCGUGAGGGAAAGGUGAAAAGCACCCCGGAAGGGGAGUGAAAUAGAACCUGAAACCGUGUGCUUACAAGUAGUCAGAGCCCGUUAAUGGGUGAUGGCGUGCCUUUUGUAGAAUGAACCGGCGAGUUACGAUUUGAUGCAAGGUUAAGCAGUAAAUGUGGAGCCGUAGCGAAAGCGAGUCUGAAUAGGGCGUUUAGUAUUUGGUCGUAGACCCGAAACCAGGUGAUCUACCCUUGGUCAGGUUGAAGUUCAGGUAACACUGAAUGGAGGACCGAACCGACUUACGUUGAAAAGUGAGCGGAUGAACUGAGGGUAGCGGAGAAAUUCCAAUCGAACCUGGAGAUAGCUGGUUCUCUCCGAAAUAGCUUUAGGGCUAGCCUCAAGUGAUGAUUAUUGGAGGUAGAGCACUGUUUGGACGAGGGGCCCCUCUCGGGUUACCGAAUUCAGACAAACUCCGAAUGCCAAUUAAUUUAACUUGGGAGUCAGAACAUGGGUGAUAAGGUCCGUGUUCGAAAGGGAAACAGCCCAGACCACCAGCUAAGGUCCCAAAAUAUAUGUUAAGUGGAAAAGGAUGUGGCGUUGCCCAGACAACUAGGAUGUUGGCUUAGAAGCAGCCAUCAUUUAAAGAGUGCGUAAUAGCUCACUAGUCGAGUGACACUGCGCCGAAAAUGUACCGGGGCUAAACAUAUUACCGAAGCUGUGGAUUGUCCUUUGGACAAUGGUAGGAGAGCGUUCUAAGGGCGUUGAAGCAUGAUCGUAAGGACAUGUGGAGCGCUUAGAAGUGAGAAUGCCGGUGUGAGUAGCGAAAGACGGGUGAGAAUCCCGUCCACCGAUUGACUAAGGUUUCCAGAGGAAGGCUCGUCCGCUCUGGGUUAGUCGGGUCCUAAGCUGAGGCCGACAGGCGUAGGCGAUGGAUAACAGGUUGAUAUUCCUGUACCACCUAUAAUCGUUUUAAUCGAUGGGGGGACGCAGUAGGAUAGGCGAAGCGUGCGAUUGGAUUGCACGUCUAAGCAGUAAGGCUGAGUAUUAGGCAAAUCCGGUACUCGUUAAGGCUGAGCUGUGAUGGGGAGAAGACAUUGUGUCUUCGAGUCGUUGAUUUCACACUGCCGAGAAAAGCCUCUAGAUAGAAAAUAGGUGCCCGUACCGCAAACCGACACAGGUAGUCAAGAUGAGAAUUCUAAGGUGAGCGAGCGAACUCUCGUUAAGGAACUCGGCAAAAUGACCCCGUAACUUCGGGAGAAGGGGUGCUCUUUAGGGUUAACGCCCAGAAGAGCCGCAGUGAAUAGGCCCAAGCGACUGUUUAUCAAAAACACAGGUCUCUGCUAAACCGUAAGGUGAUGUAUAGGGGCUGACGCCUGCCCGGUGCUGGAAGGUUAAGAGGAGUGGUUAGCUUCUGCGAAGCUACGAAUCGAAGCCCCAGUAAACGGCGGCCGUAACUAUAACGGUCCUAAGGUAGCGAAAUUCCUUGUCGGGUAAGUUCCGACCCGCACGAAAGGCGUAACGAUUUGGGCACUGUCUCAACGAGAGACUCGGUGAAAUCAUAGUACCUGUGAAGAUGCAGGUUACCCGCGACAGGACGGAAAGACCCCGUGGAGCUUUACUGUAGCCUGAUAUUGAAAUUCGGCACAGCUUGUACAGGAUAGGUAGGAGCCUUUGAAACGUGAGCGCUAGCUUACGUGGAGGCGCUGGUGGGAUACUACCCUAGCUGUGUUGGCUUUCUAACCCGCACCACUUAUCGUGGUGGGAGACAGUGUCAGGCGGGCAGUUUGACUGGGGCGGUCGCCUCCUAAAAGGUAACGGAGGCGCUCAAAGGUUCCCUCAGAAUGGUUGGAAAUCAUUCAUAGAGUGUAAAGGCAUAAGGGAGCUUGACUGCGAGACCUACAAGUCGAGCAGGGUCGAAAGACGGACUUAGUGAUCCGGUGGUUCCGCAUGGAAGGGCCAUCGCUCAACGGAUAAAAGCUACCCCGGGGAUAACAGGCUUAUCUCCCCCAAGAGUUCACAUCGACGGGGAGGUUUGGCACCUCGAUGUCGGCUCAUCGCAUCCUGGGGCUGUAGUCGGUCCCAAGGGUUGGGCUGUUCGCCCAUUAAAGCGGUACGCGAGCUGGGUUCAGAACGUCGUGAGACAGUUCGGUCCCUAUCCGUCGUGGGCGUAGGAAAUUUGAGAGGAGCUGUCCUUAGUACGAGAGGACCGGGAUGGACAUACCUCUGGUGUACCAGUUGUCGUGCCAACGGCAUAGCUGGGUAGCUAUGUGUGGACGGGAUAAGUGCUGAAAGCAUCUAAGCAUGAAGCCCCCCUCUAAGAUCCCUCAAAGAUGAUGAGGUGACAUGUGGAGCUGAUGUAU
This 2844-nucleotide ribosomal RNA is filed under the name Staphylococcus aureus. RNAcentral's name for it is "23S ribosomal RNA". It matches the Rfam family "Bacterial large subunit ribosomal RNA". Lineage: Bacteria; Bacillati; Bacillota; Bacilli; Caryophanales; Staphylococcaceae. The record is from RNAcentral.